RNAcentral lists this ribosomal RNA (253 nucleotides) under uncultured bacterium. RNAcentral's name for it is "partial 16S ribosomal RNA". It matches the Rfam family "Bacterial small subunit ribosomal RNA", at positions 524 to 776 of the family's 1533-position model. The record is from RNAcentral.
UACGUAGGGGGCAAGCGUUGUCCGGAUUUAUUGGGCGUAAAGAGCGUGUAGGCGGCCUUACAGGUCAGCUGUGAAAACUCGAGGCUCAACCUCGAGAGGUCGGUUGAAACCGUAAGGCUAGAGUCCUAGAGAGGGUCGUGGAAUUCCAGGUGUAGCGGUGAAAUGCGUAGAUAUCUGGAGGAACACCGGUGGCGAAGGCGGCAUCCUGGACCGAGAUUGACGCUGAGGCGCGAAAGCGUGGGGAGCAAACAGG